RNAcentral lists this ribosomal RNA (500 nucleotides) under uncultured Glomeromycotina. Its description in RNAcentral is "partial small subunit ribosomal RNA". It matches the Rfam family "Eukaryotic small subunit ribosomal RNA", at positions 591 to 1092 of the family's 1831-position model. Lineage: Eukaryota; Fungi; Glomeromycota. The record is from RNAcentral.
CCAAUAGCGUAUAUUAAAGUUGUUGCAGUUAAAAAGCUCGUAGUUGAAUUUCGGGGUCAGUAGUCUGGUCGUGCCAAUGGUAUGUACUGGGCUUACUGAUUCCUCCUUCCUGAUGAACUGUAAUGCCAUUAAUUUGGUGUUGCAGGGAAACUGGACUGUUACUUUGAAAAAAUUAGAGUGUUUAAAGCAAGCUAACGCUUGAAUACAUUAGCAUGGAAUAAUGAAAUAGGACGUUCGAUCCUAUUUCGUUGGUUUCUAGGAUUGACGUAAUGAUUAAUAGGGAUAGUUGGGGGCAUUAGUAUUCAAUUGUCAGAGGUGAAAUUCUUGGAUUUAUUGAAGACUAACUACUGCGAAAGCAUUUGCCAAGGAUGUUUUCAUUAAUCAAGAACGAAAGUUAGGGUAUCGAAGACGAUCAGAUACCGUCGUAGUCUUAACCAUAAACUAUGCCGACUAGGGAUCGGAUGAUGUUAAUUUUUUAAUGACUCAUUCGGCGCCUUACG